Molecule: non-coding RNA, 153 nt
Filed under: Paenibacillus sp.
Lineage: Bacteria; Bacillati; Bacillota; Bacilli; Caryophanales; Paenibacillaceae
Description: FMN sequence
Rfam family: FMN riboswitch aptamer (RFN element)
About the family: The RFN element is a highly conserved domain that is found frequently in the 5'-untranslated regions of prokaryotic mRNAs that encode for flavin mononucleotide (FMN) biosynthesis and transport proteins. This element is a metabolite-dependent riboswitch that directly binds FMN in the absence of proteins.
Source: RNAcentral
UAGGAUCUUCGGGGUAGGGUGCAAUUCCCAACCGGCGGUGAUGUUCUUCGGAACCAGCCCGCGACUCGCUGUUUGACUCAACUUAGGUCAUUCAGCGACUGACUUGGUGUGACUCCAAGGCCGACGGUACAGUCCGGAUGAGAGAAGAUCAAC